UACGUAGGAGACGAGCGUUGUCCGGAGUUACUGGGCGUAAAGGGUGCGCAGGCGGCCUUGCGCGUCGCGAGUGAAAUCUCCCGGCUCAACUGGGAGGGUGGUCGCGAGACGGCAGGGCUAGAGUCCGGUAGGGGCCCACGGAAUUCCUGGUGUAGCGGUGAAAUGCGCAGAUAUCAGGAGGAACACCGAUGGCGAAGGCAGUGGGCUGGGCCGGCACUGACGCUGAGGAGCGAAAGCGUGGGGAGCGAACAGG
RNAcentral lists this ribosomal RNA (253 nucleotides) under uncultured bacterium. Its description in RNAcentral is "partial 16S ribosomal RNA". It matches the Rfam family "Bacterial small subunit ribosomal RNA", at positions 524 to 776 of the family's 1533-position model. The record is from RNAcentral.